UUCCGCUGUGUCAGGGGCUUGCCCCGCGAAGCUGCCCGGCGCGGACGAAGCUUCCAGCCACCAUGGUGCAUGCAUUCCUGAUCCACACGCUGAGUAACCAGGCCACCGGGGAUGUGGCGUUCUGCCGAGUGCUGUAUUCACGAGUAUUUGGGUCAGAGAGGUCACCAGAUGACCCCCGGCCUCAUGGGGCAGAGAGGGACCGGCUGCUCAGGAAGGAACAGCUGUUGGCUGUAGCAAGACAGGCAGAGUCGGCGUGUAAGCUGCUGCAGCAAGCGUCAGGCCGGCCUCCCUCGGACCUCCUCCCCCAGGCCUCUGAUGAGCCCAUCCCCCUGCACGAUGCUCCCUCGGGGGUCUUCCGCCUUCGACCUGGGGACCCCUUCCAGGAAGCCAAGGUUGUCGUGUGGCUUAGGGUCCUGUCCAUAGGCUGUGCCUUGGUUUGUGAGCUUCAUGAGAACCUGCCACUGGCCGAGAGCACCCUGCGUCUGCUCAUGCGCCUGCUCUUGGAUCACCUGAAGCUGCUGUCCUCGGGCAGCGACAUUCUCCUCAGAGCAGACCGGAUCGAGAUCAUCCUCAACCACUUCCUUCCGCAGGGCCAGCUGCUCUUUCUCAACGACCAGUUUGUUCAGGGAUUGGAGAAAGAACUGAGUGCCAGCCUGCCCCGGUGAGGGCCGCCCAGGCUGGACACCUGAGGCCACGAGGGGACCCCGCUUGUCCGGCCACUUCUCUGAGUGUGGACUCUGCCGCUUGGCCCCUGACUCAGCGGGCCAAGUGUCUGCAGAAUGUGACACAGCCCUGAGAGGCCCUAUGGGACUGACCGCCGUGUCUGGUUUGUCAGAAGAAGCCCUGGACCUGAGAUGCCCUAAUUCUCGAUUGCUGCCCACUCUGCCUCCGCAGGAGAGUCUUCCUCUCUGGUGCUCAGUGGCUCACAGCUCCAUCCAGCUUGCUCCACUCCAGCCAGGGGAUUGAUUGGAGAGACCAAAGCCACCACCCAGUUCCCUCACUAUCUCAUGGAUACAAACGCAGGUCCGGAGGAAUGUCAUUUGAAUGGUGGCGGUUAUAUCCUAUUAAAAGGAAACCACGGCCUUUCCUCACAAGAAGGACUAAAGAUGGGAGAAGAAAAGAGGCCCAGAGAGAGAGCAGGAAGAGCAAAGGUCCCCGCUGCCAAGGAAGCUUGUCCCACACUUGUUCACGCUGUGGCUCAUCUUAGAGGCCCAGGUGCGGCCCUGGGUACCUGGAGCUUACCUCAAAGUGGCUUCUCUUGAAACUUAGGGGCCUGUGGGAGUGUCUCCUCUGGGGGGACCUGUGGCCAAAGCAUGUGCCUGGGUCAGACAGUCCCAGGAGCAGCACCAGGUUUGGCCUGGCAGGUCCCAGGGCAGCACAGACGGUGCUGAGCUGAGCUUCCAGCUGGCGGUUUUCCAGCCUUUCGGGAUGUGCCGCAUUUGGCAUCCCCGGCCAGCCUGGCCUUCUGGGACAUGGGCCACCCCAUGCCACACUGCCAGCAGGCCCAGGAGGAGACAAGAGAGCAGGCCGCGAAGCCCUUGGGAUUGUGAUGAGCUGUGGUGCUUGUUCAGGGACCUCGACCCUCUGGACCCAACCUGCUCCACUGGGUUUGGCGUCUGAAGUCAGGCUCUGCCACCCAGGACUCUGGAUCUUGGGGUGAUGGAUAAGUGCUCUUUCCUUCCUUCUUUCUUUCUUUCUUUCUUUCUUUCUUUCUUUCUUUCUUUCCUUCUUUCCUUCCUUCCUUCCUUCC
Dromiciops gliroides (monito del monte) is the source of this 1750-nucleotide RNA transcript. It is a transcript of the gene named adaptor related protein complex 5 subunit sigma 1, with no coding region annotated. The transcript has 4 exons. The record is from RefSeq and is a predicted model, not a curated record. Lineage: Eukaryota; Metazoa; Chordata; Mammalia; Microbiotheria; Microbiotheriidae.